AACGCACCUUGCGCUCCUUGGUAUUCCGAGGAGCAUGCCUGUUUGAGUGUCAUUAAAUUCUCAACCCCUCCAGCUUUUGCGAGUUGUGAUGGGGCUUGGAUCUGGGAGUUUGCGGGUCUUUAUCAAUAAAGGUCAGCUCUCCUGAAAUGCAUUAGCGGAACCGUUUGCAGUCCCGUCACUAGUGUGAUAAUUAUCUACACUGUGAUGAUUGCUCUCUGACUAGUUCAGCUGCUAAUCGUCCACUACGGACAACACUUAAUGAACUUCUUGACCUCAAAUCAGGUAGGACUACCCGCUGAACUUAA
Molecule: unclassified non-coding RNA, 305 nt
Filed under: uncultured fungus
Lineage: Eukaryota; Fungi
Also listed under: 1 other name
Description: partial contains 5.8S ribosomal RNA, internal transcribed spacer 2, and large subunit ribosomal RNA
Rfam family: 5.8S ribosomal RNA (bases 1-52)
Source: RNAcentral